This 243-nucleotide ribosomal RNA is filed under the name uncultured bacterium. RNAcentral's name for it is "partial 16S ribosomal RNA". It matches the Rfam family "Bacterial small subunit ribosomal RNA", at positions 118 to 351 of the family's 1533-position model. The record is from RNAcentral.
UGGGUAACCUGCCCUUAACUCUGGGAUAAGCCUGGGGAAACUGGGUCUAAUACCGGAUAUGACUCCUCAUCGCAUGGGUGGGGGGGUGGAAAGCUUUAUUGUGGUUUUGGAUGGACUCGCGGCCUAUCAGCUUGUUGGUGAGUAAUGGCUCACCAAGGCGACGGACGGGUAGCCGGCCUGAGAGGGUGACCCGGCCACACGUGGGACUGACGACACGGCCCAGACCUCCGUACGGGGAGGCAG